RNAcentral lists this ribosomal RNA (511 nucleotides) under uncultured bacterium. Its description in RNAcentral is "partial 16S ribosomal RNA". It matches the Rfam family "Bacterial small subunit ribosomal RNA", at positions 28 to 506 of the family's 1533-position model. The record is from RNAcentral.
GAUGAACGCUGGCGGCGUGCCUAAUACAUGCAAGUCGAACGAAACUUCUUUAUCACCGAGUGCUUGCACUCACCGAUAAAGAGUUGAGUGGCGAACGGGUGAGUAACACGUGGGCAACCUGCCCAAAAGAGGGGGAUAACACUUGGAAACAGGUGCUAAUACCGCAUAACCAUAGUUACCGCAUGGUAACUAUGUAAAGGGUGGCUAUACUACCGCUUUUGGAUGGGCCCGCGGCGCAUUAGCUAGUUGGUAGGGUAAAGGCUUACCAAGGCAAUGAUGCGUAGCCGAAUUGAGAGGUUGAUCGGCCACAUUGGGACUGAGACACGGCCCAAACUCCUACGGGAGGCAGCAGUAGGGAAUCUUCCACAAUGGGCGAAAGCCUGAUGGAGCAACGCCGCGUGGGUGAAGAAGGUCUUCGGAUCGUAAAACCCUGUUGUUAGAGAAGAAAGUGCGUGAGAGUAACUGUUCACGUUUCGACGGUAUCUAACCAGAAAGCCACGGCUAACUACGU